UGCGCUGUGAACAAACGCGGCCUGGCGGGUCGCAGCGCCGCGCGGCGACCGCGAGGCGACCGGGAGCCGCUGGGACCCAGGCUGCGCGCCCCUCGGCCUGCCCGGGAGCCGCGCCAGUCGGAGUCCCGGGCCGAGCGGGGCUUGCCUCCCUCUCAGCGUUCCUCUGUGCGCAGUGCAGCCAGCGGGCAUGACCGAUCCACCAGGGGCGCCGCCGCCGGCGCCUGCAAGCCGCGGGUGAAGAAGAAAGUCCGGCCCCGCUCUUCUCAGAGCGAGAAGGUAGGGAGCAGCAGCAGGGAGUUGACUAGAAGUAAGAAAGUGACCCGUAGCAAGAACGUGACCGGGACCCAGGUAGAGGAGGUGACCAAGAUCGAGGAGGCG
Mus musculus (house mouse) is the source of this 378-nucleotide non-coding RNA. NCBI's taxonomy places the organism in Eukaryota, Metazoa, Chordata, Mammalia, Rodentia, Muridae. The record is from Rfam.